GACGAACGCUGGCGGCGUGCCUAAUACAUGCAAGUAGAACGCUGAAGGAGGAGCUUGCUUCUCUGGAUGAGUUGCGAACGGGUGAGUAACGCGUAGGUAACCUGCCUGGUAGCGGGGGAUAACUAUUGGAAACGAUAGCUAAUACCGCAUAAGAGUAGAUGUUGCAUGACAUUUGCUUAAAAGGUGCAAUUGCAUCACUACCAGAUGGACCUGCGUUGUAUUAGCUAGUUGGUGAGGUAACGGCUCACCAAGGCAACGAUACAUAGACGACCUGAGAGGGUGAUCGGCCACACUGGGACUGAGACACGGCCCAGACUCCUACGGGAGGCAGCAGUAGGGAAUCUUCGGCAAUGGACGGAAGUCUGACCGAGCAACGCCGCGUGAGUGAAGAAGGUUUUCGGAUCGUAAAGCUCUGUUGUAAGAGAAGAACGAGUGUGAGAGUGGAAAGUUCACACUGUGACGGUAUCUUACCAGAAAGGGACGGCUAACUACGUG
Molecule: ribosomal RNA, 495 nt
Filed under: uncultured bacterium
Lineage: Bacteria
Description: partial 16S ribosomal RNA
Rfam family: Bacterial small subunit ribosomal RNA
Source: RNAcentral